UCUGAGGAUCCCCGAGAGGACCGGUUUGUUCAGGGCCCCCUGAGGUUCGUGGUCGGGAGCGACUUUCAAGGGCUGGGGGGUGCUGGGCAGGCCUGAGAGGAUCUGACGGUUGGAGAGAUGACUUUUGGGGACCUGAAGGUUGGCGGGGGGGGGGCAGGAGGGUCCGACCAUCCAGGUGGCCCAGACCAUCCAGUUAGGGUUGGGAUGGGCGGCCCCACAGAUAUGGGGGUGCCUGGAGAGGGGUGCUGGGGGGCCCCGAGAGCGGCUCACCCUGGCAGCCCGCGACGAGUAGGGGUCCUCGAAGAGCGCCCACACACGGGGCUGCCAGCGGCGCCACCACGUGCCGCCCGCGCCGCCCGCGCCCCCUGGCGGGCCCCGGCGCCGCCGCCCGAGUCCUGGAAGCAGAGGCGCUUGAGCUCGCCGCCCGCGCCAUCCAGGCCGCCGCCGCCCGCGCCCGCCUCGUCGUCCAGGCCCGUGUCGUGCGCUCCCGCGGCAGCGGCAUUGGCGGCGCCCGCAGGGUCCGGGGCCUCGAAGGAGUCGAGCGCCUCCUCCGCGUCGCGGUGCUGCCGGUAGGUCAUCCAGCAGCAGGCCUCCACGUCGGUCUCGUCGAUGCCCCAGAAGCCCAGCUCCUCCUCGAAGAGCGGCCCGCACACGUCGGCCGGGCAGUGCAGCUUGCCCGUGCGGUAGUAGUUGAGCACGUAGGCGAAGACGCCCGGGUGCCGGUCGAAGAAGAACUCGUCUGCGCCGGGGUCGUAGUCGAAGCGCGCGGCCGCCUCGGGCUCCGUCAGGCCGGCCAGCCGCGUACCCGGCAGGGUGCGCAGCGUCGAGCGGUACGUCUCAUGGCGCACGCCGCCCACGUUGAUCACGAUCUUGCCGCUGUCGCCACCGCCGCCGCCGUGCCGCCCCAUGGCCGCCGCUGGCAGCCCGGGGCAUGGCUCGGCGCGGGGGUCCCCGGGCCCUCGGGGUGCCUGGGGGCCCGCCGGGGAUGCGGCUGGGCCGGGCUGCGCAGGCUGCAGCGGCGGCGGCGGUGGCGGGGACAGCGGCGGCGGGGACUCGGGCUGCUGCGGUGGUGGCGCCGGCUGCUGCUUGCUGGCCCCCUGGCGCCGGGGGAAGGACGAGACGCAGACUGAGCUCAGCAUUGGACAGGGGGCGGGCCGGAGGGGGCAGGGCAGAGAGGGGCGGGGCUCGGGAGGAGAGAUGGACGUGAUUGGGUGGGAGGAGGCGAUGACUAGGAGGGCCGGGCCUGGAGGGUGCAGAGACUGACGCGAUUGGGUGGGAAAAGGCGAUAGAAUGGGGGGGUGGGGCCUCCGUGGGAGAGGAUCAGAGAUGAUUGGCCUGAGGGGUGAGUGGGUGUGGCUGAGGUCUGGAAGGGGGGGCUGGGUCUCUAAUACAGCCUGAAAGGGGGGGCACGAGUGAGGCUCCCCAAUUGGAUGUUUCGGGUGAAGGGCGGGGCGUCAAAGGGUCGCUAACGCUAUCUGGGCGAAACAGGGGAGGGAGAAAGGAGAAAGCGGAGCGAGGUAAGUGAAAGAGACCUGAGAGAAGCAGAAAAAAAGGGGAGCCGGGCUGGCCGGGAAGGUAAGGGCCACGAUGAGAGAAGCUGAUCGGAUUGCACUAAGAAGGGGCCCUAGGGGAGUAAGUUUGCACACCUGGACCUAAAGCCCUGGCAGACAGGACCGUGUGCAGGGGCAGGGGGAGAGGACGGAGUCGAGCUAACAUUGGACGGAUCAGAGCCGAGGACAGUAGAAGGGGCACUGAUUGGACUGGGACAAGGAAGGCGGGACUGAGCCAGGGGCGGGAACUAUGGACAGAAUGGGGCCAGGCCGGACUGAAAAGGGCCACGACUAAGGGGAAGAGACUGAGAUCCGGUGAGAAGGGGCAGGACUGAGGCUAAGGACAGGGCUAAGGGAGGGACUGAGGCUGCAAGCUAGGCCUGGCUACACCGGGCUUAGCCGGGAGAAGGACAGUCCCAAAGGAUGGGAAGAGACGGAGCUGGAUGGGCGAGGACUGCAGAGGGCAGAAAACAUCUGGAAUGGUCUGUAGGAGAGGGUGAAGGGGGAGCUAGAGGAAAAAGUGAGCGCUGGACGGACAGCAAGGACCUGGAACGGAGAGAUCUUGGGACAGGGCCCUAAGGGUCCACGGGGCCUUAGGGACCGGGGCAAGGACCAACAGGUGGACCAAAGGAAAGUGGGGGAGGUAGGGUGUCAGAGAGGCCCAGAGGGGGCUCGAGUCGGCGAGUUAGGGGCGGGGCCAGGACCAGGCGGCCCACCUCCGAACGGGCCGGCCCCGCCCCCAGGGCGGUCCGAGGCGCUGGGAAGCAAUGCGCAGAAGCAGGGGCUGGGGCUGGGUCAGCGGCUGCAGCGGAGGCUGCGGCGGGGAUGGGGCGAUCCGCGGACUGGCGAUGGGGGGAGGGGUGGCCCAGCCCGGCAGCUCUGGGCAGCGAGAGGCUGCGGAGGGGCAGUGACAUCACCGCCGGAGGAGGGGCUGCCCCGACUCCCCCUAACCCGGGGCCUUCAAGCUCCGCCUUUAUGGCAGACCCAGGGUCCCGGAAUCCAAAGGGGAGAGAAGAGGAACCGGAGACGAGACCAGUGGAAACGGCAUCCCUUUUCCUUAGAACAAGGGUUGGGAAAUCUUUCACUGAUUUCAACCACCACUCC
This 2654-nucleotide long non-coding RNA is filed under the name Heterocephalus glaber (naked mole-rat). Its description in RNAcentral is "lncRNA (ENSHGLG00000049504.1)". The record is from RNAcentral. Lineage: Eukaryota; Metazoa; Chordata; Mammalia; Rodentia; Bathyergidae.